CACUUUCAACUCCACUCUGCUUAGAAAGAAACGUCUCCAGGUAAAUGGAGACUCAAGACGAAUAUGGAGAAACCCUGGCUUGUUGAACUCUCUCUGGAAUGGUAACGAGUACGCGGAUGGCUUCUUUUUUUCCAGAGGCAUGCCGGUAUUAACACAUGAGAGGGCGUUUCUAGUAUCUGCAUCGUUCCUUGGGAAGAAUUUGAAGGAACCUUUUGAGGGUUUUGUUUCUGUUUAUUUGUUUUUAAGGGGAUCCCGUGUACUCCGGAAUGGUCUCGAAUUCACUCUGUGUAGUUGAACAUGACCUUGAACUUCUGGUCUUUCUCGCUUCCUCAUGUUUCCCUCUCCUGAGUGCUGAAAUUAAAAGCGUGUGUUGCCUUGCCUGGUUUACAUAGUGCUGGAGGUCAAACCCAGAGCACUCUAGGCAAGUAUCUGACCAAUUGAGCUACAUUUCCCAGCCCCGACAGCCAAUUUCAAUAUGGCAGCAAUCGCAGUGACCCUUUUAAAAUGAAAAUGACAUUGUAUCCCCUAUUUGCUCAAAACCCCAUAGCUCUUCCUGUUUUACCAAAUUGUCACAGUCCAUACAGGACCUAC
RNAcentral lists this long non-coding RNA (591 nucleotides) under Rattus norvegicus (Norway rat). RNAcentral describes it as "long non-coding RNA NONRATT010662". Lineage: Eukaryota; Metazoa; Chordata; Mammalia; Rodentia; Muridae. The record is from RNAcentral.